CCCUUAGAUGUUCUGGGCCGCACGCGCGCUACACUGAUUCAUGCAACAAGUUUUGUCCUUGGCUGAUAGGCCUGGGUAAUCUUUGAACGUGAAUCGUGAUGGGGAUAGAUGAUUGCAAUUAUUCAUCUUCAACGAGGAAUUCCUAGUAAACGCAAGUCAUCAGCUUGCAUUGAUUACGUCCCUGCCCUUUGUACACACCGCCCGUCGCACCUACCGAUUGAAUGGUCCGGUGAAAUCUUCGGAUCUGAGAGAUGUCUGAUUAAUUUCGGACGCCUUUUGGAACAGUUGCUUAAACCUUACCAUUUAGAGGAAGGUGAAGUCGUAACA
RNAcentral lists this ribosomal RNA (327 nucleotides) under uncultured eukaryote. RNAcentral describes it as "partial 18S ribosomal RNA". It matches the Rfam family "Eukaryotic small subunit ribosomal RNA", at positions 1470 to 1796 of the family's 1831-position model. The record is from RNAcentral.